RNAcentral lists this ribosomal RNA (507 nucleotides) under uncultured bacterium. Its description in RNAcentral is "partial 16S ribosomal RNA". It matches the Rfam family "Bacterial small subunit ribosomal RNA", at positions 28 to 523 of the family's 1533-position model. The record is from RNAcentral.
GAUGAACGCUAGCUACAGGCUUAACACAUGCAAGUCGAGGGGUAACGAGAGGGAAGCUUGCUUUCCUUGUCGACGACCGGCGCACGGGUGAGUAACGCGUAUCCAACCUGCCCCCAACUAGGGAAUAACCUUGCGAAAGUAAGACUAAUACCCUAUAAUUUCCUCAGAUGUCAUCUGACGAGGAAUAAAGAUUUAUCGGUUGGGGAUGGGGAUGCGUCUGAUUAGCUUGUUGGCGGGGUAACGGCCCACCAAGGCAACGAUCAGUAGGGGUUCUGAGAGGAAGGUCCCCCACAUUGGAACUGAGACACGGUCCAAACUCCUACGGGAGGCAGCAGUGAGGAAUAUUGGUCAAUGGGCGGAAGCCUGAACCAGCCAAGUAGCGUGCAGGAUGACGGCCCUAUGGGUUGUAAACUGCUUUUAUACAGGAAUAAAGUUAGCCACGUGUGGUUAUUUGUAGGUACUGUAUGAAUAAGGACCGGCUAAUUCCGUGCCAGCCGCCGCGAGUAA